UGUAGUCGAGGGGUAUAGUUCUUCGGAACUAGAGACCGGCGCACGGGUGCGUAACGCGUAUGCAAUCUACCUUUUACAGAGGGAUAGCCCAGAGAAAUUUGGAUUAAUACCUCAUAGUAUAUAGCCCUGGCAUCAGGAUUAUAUUAAAGUCACAACGGUAAAAGAUGAGCAUGCGUCCCAUUAGCUAGUUGGUAAGGUAACGGCUUACCAAGGCUACGAUGGGUAGGGGUCCUGAGAGGGAGAUCCCCCACACUGGUACUGAGACACGGACCAGACUCCUACGGGAGGCAGCAGUGAGGAAUAUUGGACAAUGGGCGCAAGCCUGAUCCAGCCAUGCCGCGUGCAGGAUGACGGUCCUAUGGAUUGUAAACUGCUUUUAUACGAGAAGAAACACUCCUUCGUGAAGGAGCUUGACGGUAUCGUAAGAAUAAGGAUCGGCUAACUCCGUGCCAGCAGCCGCGGUAAUACGGAGGAUCCAAGCGUUAUCCGGAAUCAUUGGGUUUAAAGGGUCCGUAGGCGGUUUAAUAAGUCAGUGGUGAAAGCCCAUCGCUCAACGGUGGAACGGCCAUUGAUACUGUUAGACUUGAAUUAUUAGGAAGUAACUAGAAUAUGUAGUGUAGCGGUGAAAUGCUUAGAGAUUACAUGGAAUACCAAUUGCGAAGGCAGGUUACUACUAAUUGAUUGACGCUGAUGGACGAAAGCGUGGGUAGCGAACAGGAUUAGAUACCCUGGUAGUCCACGCCGUAAACGAUGGAUACUAGCUGUUGGAAGCAAUUUCAGUGGCUAAGCGAAAGUGAUAAGUAUCCCACCUGGGGAGUACGUUCGCAAGAAUGAAACUCAAAGGAAUUGACGGGGGCCCGCACAAGCGGUGGA
RNAcentral lists this ribosomal RNA (873 nucleotides) under uncultured bacterium. Its description in RNAcentral is "bacterial SSU rRNA". It matches the Rfam family "Bacterial small subunit ribosomal RNA", at positions 56 to 936 of the family's 1533-position model. The record is from RNAcentral.